GACGAACGCUGGCGGCGUGCCUAAUACAUGCAAGUAGAACGCUGAAGGAGGAGCUUGCUUCUCUGGAUGAGUUGCGAACGGGUGAGUAACGCGUAGGUAACCUGCCUGGUAGCGGGGGAUAACUAUUGGAAACGAUAGCUAAUACCGCAUAAGAGUAGAUGUCGCAUGACAUUUGCUUAAAAGGUGCAAUUGCAUCACUACCAGAUGGACCUGCGUUGUAUUAGCUAGUUGGUGAGGUAACGGCUCACCAAGGCAACGAUACAUAGCCGACCUGAGAGGGUGAUCGGCCGCACUGGGACUGAGACACGGCCCAGCUUCCUACGGGAGGCAGCAUGAGGGAAUCUUCGGCAAUGGACGGAAGUCUGACCGAGCAACGCCGCGUGAGUGAAGAAGGUUUUCGGAUCGUAAAGCUCUGUUGUAAGAGAAGAACGAGUGUGAGAGUGGAAAGUUCACACUGUGACGGUAUCUUACCAGAAAGGGACGGCUAACUACG
Molecule: ribosomal RNA, 493 nt
Filed under: uncultured bacterium
Lineage: Bacteria
Description: partial 16S ribosomal RNA
Rfam family: Bacterial small subunit ribosomal RNA
Source: RNAcentral